Molecule: long non-coding RNA, 224 nt
Filed under: Citrus sinensis (sweet orange)
Lineage: Eukaryota; Viridiplantae; Streptophyta; Magnoliopsida; Sapindales; Rutaceae
Description: long non-coding RNA (CSIN_LNC003917)
Source: RNAcentral
GUAUAAUAUGGCUACCGUGAUGCGAAAAAAGCCUCCAUUUGCAUUCCUCUUCGUUUUUUAUUAUCGACGACAAUCCCCUUACACUUGAUAUUCCCAAAUACAACCCUAAUUUCUUUGAACCCAAAAUUAUUAAAUAACUCAAUUUCAACGAAGUUUAAAAUGACAUGAGAUGUUCAAGCAUGCGAUUUCAAGAAAAUGGUUGCUGGUAAUUGGUAGCUAGACAC